Molecule: ribosomal RNA, 560 nt
Filed under: uncultured bacterium
Lineage: Bacteria
Description: bacterial SSU rRNA
Rfam family: Bacterial small subunit ribosomal RNA
Source: RNAcentral
CCUACGGGAGGCAGCAGUGGGGAAUCUUAGACAAUGGGGGAAACCCUGAUCUAGCCAUGCCGCGUGAGCGAUGAAGGCCUUAGGGUUGUAAAGCUCUUUCAGUGGGGAAGAUAAUGACGGUACCCACAGAAGAAGCCCCGGCUAACUACGUGCCAGCAGCCGCGGUAAUACGUAGGGUGCGAGCGUUAAUCGGAAUUACUGGGCGUAAAGCGUGCGCAGGCGGUUGUGCAAGACAGGUGUGAAAUCCCCGGGCUUAACCUGGGAACUGCAUUUGUGACUGCACAGCUAGAGUUUGUCAGAGGGGGGUGGAAUUCCACGUGUAGCAGUGAAAUGCGUAGAUAUGUGGAAGAACACCGAUGGCGAAGGCAGCCCCCUGGGAUGAGACUGACGCUCAUGCACGAAAGCGUGGGGAGCAAACAGGAUUAGAUACCCUGGUAGUCCACGCCCUAAACGAUGUCGACUAGUUGUCGGGGGGUAACACUCUUGGUAACGCAGCUAACGCGUGAAGUCGACCGCCUGGGGAGUACGGUCGCAAGAUUAAAACUCAAAGGAAUUGACGG